This 484-nucleotide ribosomal RNA is filed under the name uncultured bacterium. RNAcentral's name for it is "partial 16S ribosomal RNA". It matches the Rfam family "Bacterial small subunit ribosomal RNA", at positions 28 to 507 of the family's 1533-position model. The record is from RNAcentral.
AUUGAACGCUGGCGGCAUGCUUUACACAUGCAAGUCGAACGGCAGCGCGGGCUUCGGCCUGGCGGCGAGUGGCGAACGGGUGAGUAAUGCAUCGGAACGUGCCCAGUAGUGGGGGAUAGCCCGGCGAAAGCCGGAAUAAUACCGCAUACGACCUGAGGGCGAAAGCGGGGGACCGAAAGGCCUUGCGCUCUUGGGGCGGCCGAUGUCGGAUUAGCUAGUUGGUGGGGUAAAGGCUUACCAAGGCGACGAUCCGUAGCUGGUCUGAGAGGACGACCAGCCACACUGGGACUGAGACACGGCCCAGACUCCUACGGGAGGCAGCAGUGGGGAAUUUUGGACAAUGGGGGCAACCCUGAUCCAGCCAUGCCGCGUGCGGGAAGAAGGCCUUCGGGUUGUAAACCGCUUUUGUUCGGGAAGAAAUCCUCUGGGCUAAUACCCCGGGGGGAUGACGGUACCGGAAGAAUAAGCACCGGCUAACUACGUG